GAAAAAAAUGAUGAAAAGACUCUCCUCAUAUCCGUUGCCCCUCCAAAAUUGAAAUCUGAAAACUUAAGACGCCAUCUUCUCACUUCAGCUACGUUUAUAGCUGACACAUCAAAAUUGAAAGCUGAAAUCACUGGCAAACUCGAACACACCAUCUUUUCUUCUUCAAGCAGCUCUUCAUCUUGAACACACCAUCUUCUGCCUCCCGCCUCAUCUGCUCAUUGCUACGUUAUAAAGAUGAAGAAAAUCUAACCCCCUUCCGUCAUUCACUUUCUCUUCUCUUAUCCUUGAAAUCUGAAAAACUUAAGACGCCAUCUUCUCUUUAUUUUUUCUCAAAAAUCUUGCCACUCUCCACUUUCCACUUGACUUCGGCUACGUUUAUAGCUGAAAUCACUGGCAAACUCGAACACACCAUCUUUUUUUCUUCAAGCAGCUCUUCAUCUUGAACACACCAUCUUCUGCCUCCCGCCUCAUCUGCUCAUUGCUACGUUAUAAAUCUGAUAGAAAAUCUAACCCCCUUCCGUCAUUCACUUUCUCUUCUCUUAUCCUUGAAAUCUGAAAACUUAAGACGCCAUCUUCUCUUUAUUUUUUCUCAAAAAUCUUGCCACUUUCCACUUUCCACUUGACUUCGGCUACGUUUAUACCUGAAAUCACUAGCAAACUCGAACACACCAUCUUUUUUUCUUCAAGCAGCUCCUCAUUUGAACACACCAUCUUCUGCCUCCCGCCUCAUCUGCUCAUUGCUACGUUAUAAAUCUGAUAAUUUGAAACACCAAAAAGAACACCCCCGCUGGCCCAUGGAUCAUUACAAUCUUCAAUUUCUACACUCCAUGAUGCCAAUCACAUUUCUCAACAACCUUCGCUUUUCUCCUUGGUUCCCCUGAAAACCUCAAUCUAAAGGGAUAUGUUUGAACUGGGAAAGAUGGAGAACGGUGAUGUGGUUGUGGAGACAAGGUUACGCGUGCCUCGUCUGCGACAUUGACGCUUGAGAGCGAGCUUGAUAACAUCAAGGAAGCUCAGUGGGAGUGAAGCUUAAUCCUCCAUCUUCUCAUGGGAUCAUAAGAUUUCAGGGGAUUAGAUUUGAUGGGACAAUGGUGGAUAUGGGGGCGAAGUGGGGAAGAUGGAGAAUGGUGAGAUGGUUGUGGAGACAAGCAUUACGCGUACCUUGCCUGCAGCAUUGACGCUUUGGUGCGGGCUUGAGAGCAUCAAGGGAGCUUUGGAGGAGUUGAAGCUCAAUCCUCCAUCUUCUUCUCAUUGGAUUAUAAGAUUUCAGGUGCACCUCAUUAUUAU
Carica papaya (papaya) is the source of this 1287-nucleotide non-coding RNA. NCBI's taxonomy places the organism in Eukaryota, Viridiplantae, Streptophyta, Magnoliopsida, Brassicales, Caricaceae. The record is from RefSeq and is a predicted model, not a curated record.